Molecule: long non-coding RNA, 684 nt
Organism: Asparagus officinalis (garden asparagus)
Lineage: Eukaryota; Viridiplantae; Streptophyta; Magnoliopsida; Asparagales; Asparagaceae
Exons: 2
Source: RefSeq, a predicted model, not a curated record
UGCAAAAUAAAAAUGAGAAAUAAAAUCCCCAGAACAUCCCUCACCAAACUCUGUAUUAUCCAAUGUUUAUUAUAUCCUGAACACGCGGUACUAGCUUUGCACGGUGCACGUGUCCGACCAGCGCCACUCGGACCUCAGCCAAGAUUCUGCACACAUUUCAAUAUCGUUUACCAUCAUCUUUGGCGUCCGCCCUUGGAUUUGAUCAACCGUGUCGAGAAAGAGGAGGAGGAGGAGGAGGAGGAGACGAAGAGGAUGACGAGGGGAAAGCAGAAGAUAGAGGCACAGAGGAAGAACGCAGAGAAGAAUCAGAAGCAAAAGGGAUCUCAAUUCGAGGCCAGGGCCGUCGCCCUCAAGGUCACGUGCCCAAUCUGCAAGGUACAGCUAGCAAAUCAAAACCAGCUUGGCGAUCACUACAGUUCGAAACACCCCAAAGAGAAACCUCCAAGUGAGUCUGGAUGACAUCUCUGCAAGCAUUUGGAAGGGGCUUGGGAUGUAUUAACUUCUAAGUGUAUCGAUCUUAUUUGUUCAACUCCUACCUCUAUCGUCUUUUGGAUCAUGUAUGAAACGUUAUGAGGUUUUGCGAUGCUUAUUAUAUGAAUAACAUGCACCGGAUGUAAUCGAUGUUGCGUCUUUCGAUUGUAUCUGUACUUUGAUGUGUAUAUGGAAUUUUGAAGGUUUUUUUGA